Molecule: ribosomal RNA, 465 nt
Filed under: uncultured bacterium
Lineage: Bacteria
Description: partial 16S ribosomal RNA
Rfam family: Bacterial small subunit ribosomal RNA
Source: RNAcentral
GACGAACGCUGGCGGCGUGCUUAACACAUGCAAGUCGAACGGAAAGGCCCUGCUUGCAGGGUACUCGAGUGGCGAACGGGUGAGUAACACGUGGGUGAUCUGCCCUGCACUUCUGGAUAAGCCUGGGAAACUGGGUCUAAUACCGGAUAGGAGCCAUUUUUAGUGUGAUGGUUGGAAAGUUUUUUCGGUGUAGGAUGAGCUCGCGGCCUAUCAGCUUGUUGGUGGGGUAAUGGCCUACCAAGGCGGCGACGGGUAGCCGGCCUGGGAGGGUGGACGGCCAAAUUGGGACUGGGAUACGGCCCAGACUCCUACGGGAGGCAGCCGGGGGGAAUAUUGCACAAUGGGGGGAAGCCUGAUGCAGCGACGCCGCGUGGGGGAUGACGGCCUUCGGGUUGUAAACUCCUUUCGCUAGGGACGAAGCUUUUUGUGACGGUACCUAGAUAAGAAGCACCGGCUAACUACGUG